RNAcentral lists this ribosomal RNA (386 nucleotides) under uncultured bacterium. RNAcentral's name for it is "partial 16S ribosomal RNA". It matches the Rfam family "Bacterial small subunit ribosomal RNA", at positions 523 to 918 of the family's 1533-position model. The record is from RNAcentral.
AUACGUAGGGGGCGAGCGUUAUCCGGAUUUAUUGGGCGUAAAGCGUGUGUAGGCGGUUUGUUAAGUUUAAGAUUAAAGCCCGAGGCUUAACCUCGGUUCGUCUUAAAAACUGGCAGACUUGAGUGCAGUAGAGGCAAGUGGAAUUUCUAGGGUAGCGGUUAAAUGAGUUGAUAUUAGAAGGAACACCAGUGGCGAAGGCGGCUUGCUGGGCUGUUACUGACGCUGAGACACGAAAGCGUGGGGAGCAAAUAGGAUUAGAUCCCCUAGUAGUCCACGCCGUAAACGAUGAGUACUAAGUGUCGGGUAACCGGUGCUGAAGUUAACACAUUAAGUACUCCGCCUGAGUAGUACGGUCGCAAGGCUGAAACUCAAAUGAAUUGACGGGG